This 294-nucleotide ribosomal RNA is filed under the name uncultured bacterium. RNAcentral describes it as "partial 16S ribosomal RNA". It matches the Rfam family "Bacterial small subunit ribosomal RNA", at positions 29 to 334 of the family's 1533-position model. The record is from RNAcentral.
AACGAACGCUGGCGGCAUGCCUAACACAUGCAAGUCGAACGGUAACAGCGGUGCUUGCACCGGCUGACGAGUGGCGCACGGGUGAGUAACGCGUGGAUACAUACCUCGAUGUGGGGGACAACAGUUGGAAACGACUGCUAAUACCGCAUAUCUCCUGAGGGAGAAAGACUUCGGUCGCAUUGAGAGUGGUCCGCGUAGGAUUAGCUAGUUGGUGGGGUAAAGGCCCACCAAGGCGACGAUCCUUAGCUGGUCUGAGAGGAUGAUCAGCCACACUGGAACUGAGACACGGUCCAG